UUUUUGUCUAAAAGAUAAAUACAU
RNAcentral lists this small nuclear RNA (24 nucleotides) under Arabidopsis thaliana (thale cress). RNAcentral describes it as "snRNA_14986". The record is from RNAcentral. Lineage: Eukaryota; Viridiplantae; Streptophyta; Magnoliopsida; Brassicales; Brassicaceae.